GGUCAAGUUACUAAGAGCAUAGGGAGAAUGCCUUGGCACUGGGAGCCGAAGAAGGACGUGACAAGCUGCGAAAAGCUGCGAUGAGGUGCAAAUAACCGAUUAGUCGCAGAUAUCCGAAUGGGGAAACCCGGCAGGUAGAAGACCUGUCACCCGCAUAUGAAUAAAAUAGUAUGCGAGGAGGGAACUCGGGGAACUGAAACAUCUAAGUACCCGAAGGAAGAGAAAGAAAACUCGAUUUUCCAAGUAGCGGCGAGCGAAAGGGAAAGAGCCUAAACCGUAUUUAUACGGGGUAAUGGGAUAUGCAAAGGAGAUCUAAAGAGAAGCCGAAGCGCAUGGGAAGGCGCACCAUAGGGAGUAAGAGUCUCGUAGGCGAAAUUGAUAGAUACAGGCAUAUUUCCGGAGUACCACGGGACACGUGAAACCCUGUGGGAAUUAGGGGGGACCACCCCCCAAGGCUAAAUACUACCCAGUGACCGAUAGAGAAUAGUACCGUGAGGGAAAGGUGAAAAGAACCCCGGGAGGGGAGUGAAACAGAACCUGAAACCCUAUGCUUACAAGCAGUGGGAGCGAUAAGUGACCGCGUGCUUUUUGUAGAACGGACCAGCGAGUUACGAUGUGUAGCAAGGUUAACUGCUUAAGGCAGGAAGCCGAAGGGAAACCGAGUCUUAAUAGGGCGUAUAGUUGCAUGUUGUAGACCCGAAACCGUGUGAUCUACCCAUGUCCAGGGUGAAGCGUGAGUAAAAUCACGUGGAGGCCCGAACCGGUGUCUGUUGAAAAAGGCUCGGAUGAGGUGUGGGUAGCGGAGAAAUUCCAAUCGAACACGGAGAUAGCUGGUUCUCCCCGAAAUAGCUUUAGGGCUAGCGUUAAGGGAUGAAUAGUGGAGGUAGAGCACUGAAUUGGCUAGGGGGCGUAUAGCUUACCGAACCAUAUCAAACUCCGAAUGCCACAUAUUUUACCUUGGCAGUCAGACUGCGUGAGAUAAGUUUCGUAGUCGAAAGGGAAACAGCCCAGACCAUCAGCUAAGGUCCCAAAGUGUAAGUUAAGUGGGAAAGGAUGUGCAAUUGCUAAGACAACUAGGAUGUUGGCUUAGAAGCAGCCACUCAUUUAAAGAGUGCGUAAUAGCUCACUAGUCGAGUGAUUGUGCGCCGAAGAUUACCGGGGCUAAAACUUACCACCGAAGCUAUGGCUUGCAGAUUAAUCUGCAGGGG
This is a non-coding RNA of Alkalibacter saccharofermentans DSM 14828, 1208 nucleotides long. The record is from Rfam. Lineage: Bacteria; Bacillati; Bacillota; Clostridia; Eubacteriales; Eubacteriaceae.